Long non-coding RNA from Homo sapiens (human), 2141 nucleotides. Ensembl annotates it as OIP5 antisense RNA 1. Its record names the gene OIP5-AS1. NCBI's taxonomy places the organism in Eukaryota, Metazoa, Chordata, Mammalia, Primates, Hominidae. The record is from Ensembl.
AGAAGCUGCGAAGAUGGCGGAGUAAGGCGUGCCGCUGCAAACUGGCCUCUGGGCCGGGGGCGAGCAGCCCCCGGGAGGCCGAGUGCAUCUGUUGGACCGUGCGAGGAGAAGAAAAAAAAUAUCGGCCAGAGGAGAGGAACUAACCGAACAUUCUUCCUCCCUACCUUAUAGAGGGGAGUGGUCAUCUACACUAAAGCAAAGUGUUAGGCGCGUCCGUGCGAAGAGACCACCAAACAGGCUUUGUACCAUCUGGAUAUAUACGUGCAGGCUUGGGCUCAGAGGCCUGACACAAAGGUCUUAAGUAGGGGUCCAUAAACUACUGGAAAUUUUAUGCACAAUUAUACAUUUUUGUGGGAAGAAGAAGGUCCAUAGUAUCAGAUUCUCAAAGAGGACACUGUUUCAUAAAAGCUUGAGAACCACUGCUCCAAGACUUGACAUCUUUUUAAAAUUAAUGCCAGUGCAGGUUCCUUAUCACAGGAAGAAAAUUUUCCUUGACCUUUAGGUGCUUUUAUAUUCAUCUCAAAAACAAAAUUCUGAACUCAGGACUUGGCAAGUGUCUCUAUGUUGUCUCCUAGAGUGGGUAGUCCUGCUUCUUUUACCCAGUUACUUUCCCGUUUUUGAAAUGUGGCUAUCACUUCUCUACACAUUACCUCCAUGAUUUGGAAUGGAAAAGGCCACUUUUCUUUUUGUUCUGCCUCUCAAAUUCAACACAGAGGAGCUCCUAGGAUUCCAGUUAUCCUGCUAACAUCUCCAGGAAGAAAGAAGCAACUCACAUGGGUCUUUUGCUGUUUGCUUAAUUAUAAAGACAUCAUUUUGCAAGCAGAAGGCUGAGUUUCAUUUGAAACAGGUGCUUAGGUGGUGGUAUUUGUGAAUACUUUUCAUUCCAAGCAAGAAGACUAAAGAAGUAGCAAGUAUGAAUGACUUCAGGGUUUAAAAAAAAUGUCUUCCAGUUUCAGCCACUACCAUGAUAAGCACAGUUGAGACUGCAGCAGUAAAUUCCAAAUAUGUGUUUCUAAUUUGACGUGAAAGAUACUAAAAAUUUAUAUUUGUAUAUUUAAAUCCUGGCUCAUCCUGUGACAUAGAUUUACUGAAUAGGAACAAAGGCCCAAUUUUAAACAAAAACCUAGGCCGGGUGUGGUGGCUCACACCUGUAAUCCCAACACUUUGGGAGGCCAAGGCAGGCAAAUCACCUGAGGUUGGGAGUUUGAGACCAGCCUGACCAACAUGGAGAAACCCCAUCUCUACUAAAAAUAGAAAAUUAGCCAGGUGUGGUGGUAGAUACGUGUAAUCCCAGCUACUCGUGAGGCUGAGGCAGGAGAAUUGCUUGAAUCCGGGAGGCGGAGGUUGCAGUGAACUGAGAUUGCACCACUGCACUCCAGCCUGGGCGACAGAGUGAGACUCCGUCUCAGAAAAAUAAAAAACAACUUUGGACAUAGAGGAGUUGGGGGCAGAGGGGGGAGGAUGAGAGAAUUUUCCAUGUAACUCCUUUUCCUUAAGAAAAAGAAGCAAAAAUCCCUCAUGCAGUGCCAUCUGACUUUAUGGUGUUUCACAUUAUAUAGUUACUUUUUUUAAUAAACGCAUAAGAUUAACUCUUCCUGCAACCCAAGGUGGAUACUUGGAUGUUUGAUUUUUAUUUAUUUAUUUAUUUAUUUUUUGAGGCAGUCUCUCUCUGUUGCCCAGGCUGGAGUGAUGCGUGAUUUCUGCUCACUGCAGUCUCUCCCACCCGGGUUCAAGCGAUUCUCCUGCCUCAGCCUCCCAAGUAGCUAGGAUUACAGGCGCGCACCACCACGCUCAGCCUGAUUUCUAGGCUGAAAAGGCUGGGACUCAGGUACUUUCCCCAGUUGGGACUGAACUUUCUCAUCAGAGAAUGGGCCUCAGAAGCAAUGUUCCCAAACUUGUGGUUGGGUCAUCGUGGAAAAGAAACCUCAAAUAAGAAAAAUAAUUACAAUAAGAAAUGGAUUUUCUUUUUUCCCACAACAGUUAUACAUUAUAAAGAACAGACUGUCGUAGAAAACUGUCUUUGCUUCCAAAUCAGCAGAGGACCAUUGUAUGUAUUGUCAGGUCUUUAUAUAAGAGUGAAACCUUUAUUUAUGCUUCUUGUGAGUAGAGAAUAAAUUUUAAAACUAAUUAGAUGAAAUUAA